GAUGAACGCUGGCGGCGUGCCUAAUACAUGCAAGUCGAGCGAACAGACGAGGAGCUUGCUCCUCUGACGUUAGCGGCGGACGGGUGAGUAACACGUGGAUAACCUACCUAUAAGACUGGGAUAACUUCGGGAAACCGGAGCUAAUACCGGAUAAUAUAUUGAACCGCAUGGUUCCAUAGUGAAAGACGGUUUUGCUGUCACUUAUAGAUGGAUCCGAGCCGCAUUAGCUAGUUGGUAAGGUAACGGCUUAACAAGGCAACGAUGCGUAGCCGACCUGAGAGGGUGAUCGGCCACACUAGAACUGAGACACGGUCCAGACUCCUACGGGAGGCAGAAGUAGGGAAUCUUCCGCAAUGGGCGAAUGCCUGACGGAGCACCGCCGCGUGAGUGAUGAAGGUCUACGGAUCGUAAAGCUCUGUUAUUAGGGAAGAACAAAUGUGUAAGUAACUAUGCACGUCUUGACGGUACCUAAUCAGAAAGCCACGGCUAACUACGUG
RNAcentral lists this ribosomal RNA (497 nucleotides) under uncultured bacterium. RNAcentral's name for it is "partial 16S ribosomal RNA". It matches the Rfam family "Bacterial small subunit ribosomal RNA", at positions 28 to 507 of the family's 1533-position model. The record is from RNAcentral.